UUUUUUUAACAUAUGAUUUGAUUUUUUUUGUCUCCAUCCUUAAGAUUUUUAUUUUAAGGACAGCAACGCAGAGAAAAACACAGCCAGCCCCUCUCUAACUGCAUUAACUCCGUUACAGGCCAGAGGACGUGCGCAUUUCUAGGUAUGGAGUGUGACAAUAACAAUGACUUUGACAUCGCAAGCGUGAAAGCACUGGACAAUAAGCUGUGCUCUGAGGUCUGCUUACCUGGUGCCUGGCAGGCUGAUGACAAUGCCGUCAGUCGGAAUGCCCAGCGCCGGCGCUUGUCAUCCAGCAGCCUGGAGGACUCUGAGACGAGGCCCUGUGUGUGGGGCCCUUUGGCUGUCUGAGCCCCAGCCUCUGCACUUGGGCUCCCCUCCUGCCCUGCAUUCCAUCCAUCCUCACUCAGCUGCUGCCUACUGGGCAUCCUCAGCAAGAUGCUGGAGACUUUUUACCCUCCUGUGACAGCUGUUACAACCUGUAACCACAAUCCCUCACCUCUCAGAGGGAACUGGAACCCUCCUUUCUCCGUGUGACCUAAAGCCACUCAAUGAACUGCAGCUCACGAGA
This 568-nucleotide long non-coding RNA is filed under the name Homo sapiens (human). RNAcentral describes it as "non-protein coding lnc-FOXJ1-3:1". The record is from RNAcentral. Lineage: Eukaryota; Metazoa; Chordata; Mammalia; Primates; Hominidae.